RNAcentral lists this ribosomal RNA (320 nucleotides) under uncultured eukaryote. Its description in RNAcentral is "partial 18S ribosomal RNA". It matches the Rfam family "Eukaryotic small subunit ribosomal RNA", at positions 1470 to 1796 of the family's 1831-position model. The record is from RNAcentral.
CCCCUAGAUGUUCUGGGCCGCACGCGCGCUACACUGAACAGUUCAACAAGUCUUAACCUUGGCCGAUAGGUCUGGGUAAUCUUUGAACGCUGUUCGUGAUUGGGAUAGACCUUUGCAAUUAUGGGUCUUCAACGAGGAAUUCCUAGUAAACGCAAGUCAUCAGCUUGCAUUGAUUACGUCCCUGCCCUUUGUACACACCGCCCGUCGCACCUACCGAUUGAAUGGUCCGGUGAAAUCUCGGGACGGCGGCUUGGUCGCUUGCGUCCGACUGCUGAAACUUGAUUAAACCAUAUCAUUUAGAGGAAGGUGAUGUCGUANCA